This 252-nucleotide ribosomal RNA is filed under the name uncultured Thiobacillus sp. RNAcentral describes it as "partial 16S ribosomal RNA". It matches the Rfam family "Bacterial small subunit ribosomal RNA", at positions 1131 to 1382 of the family's 1533-position model. Lineage: Bacteria; Pseudomonadati; Pseudomonadota; Betaproteobacteria; Nitrosomonadales; Thiobacillaceae. The record is from RNAcentral.
AAGGGCACUCUAAUGAGACUGCCGGUGACAAACCGGAGGAAGGUGGGGAUGACGUCAAGUCCUCAUGGCCCUUAUGGGUAGGGCUUCACACGUCAUACAAUGGUCGGUACAGAGGGUUGCCAAGCCGCGAGGCGGAGCCAAUCCCACAAAGCCGAUCGUAGUCCGGAUUGUUCUCUGCAACUCGAGAGCAUGAAGUCGGAAUCGCUAGUAAUCGCAGGUCAGCAUACUGCGGUGAAUACGUUCCCGGGUCUU